Molecule: long non-coding RNA, 443 nt
Filed under: Salvia miltiorrhiza (redroot sage)
Lineage: Eukaryota; Viridiplantae; Streptophyta; Magnoliopsida; Lamiales; Lamiaceae
Description: long non-coding RNA (SMIL_LNC010860)
Source: RNAcentral
AGUUAGAGGCAGUCGGAGGUGCCGCAAGGAGUGCGGCAAUCUGAGUAGCGAAAGGAUUUUCAAUCAGAGUAAGCAUGUUUGCAACAUGCCUCUUAUUGCUUUUGAAUCAUGCGUGGCAUGCUCUUGAGUUAUUUGCCUUAUUCGUUGCCCCGUUUUCCUUCACCAAUAUAGCUGCUGUUGAGAGAAAGCAGAGGCUGGAGUUUGGUUUAUUGCGAUGUUGGCGAUGAAACAAACGUGAGCUUCGGGACAGCGUGCGGAGAAUCGGCAACAGAGAGAUUGUACUCCGUCAAGGUUCGCUGCUUUACACCAUUUCUCUUGAGCUCACGCCGUUAAAUACUCAUGGUGUUUUCUUUUUUUGAUGUAUCACAGCUUGUCGAAUCCCUGCCAAUUUCACCGAGCGCUGACAACGACGUGUGCUGUUCCGUAGUUCCGGCGAAAAGGAG